Molecule: long non-coding RNA, 311 nt
Organism: Oncorhynchus tshawytscha (Chinook salmon)
Lineage: Eukaryota; Metazoa; Chordata; Actinopteri; Salmoniformes; Salmonidae
Source: Ensembl
GAAAAUUCCAGCACAAGGUCGCAUGACCAGGGAAAACACCACCAACAAUAACCACAUCACAAAUCUCUCCAGCCCAGCCUCAGGCCUUGGCUCUACCGGCUGUAACCUCCACUCUGGGGUCCUCUGGAGGAGAGAAGGGCUACCACCAGGAGCCACAGUGAUCUCCAUACAGACUUCCACACUGGGCCUGCACCCUCCGCUCUGGGGCUCCCGGAGGCAGAGACCCGCAGAGGCUGCUGCCUGCCCCUGGUACUGGCCUGUCUGUCCUGCCAGUGCUCCACACUGAUCCUGGGCCUGUUGGAGGCCUGCUC